Molecule: small nuclear RNA, 106 nt
Organism: Octodon degus (degu)
Lineage: Eukaryota; Metazoa; Chordata; Mammalia; Rodentia; Octodontidae
Source: Ensembl
GUGCUCACUUAAGCAGCACACAUAAAAAACUGGAUCAAUUUAGAAAAAGUUAGCACAGCCUCUUCACAACGAUGACAUGCACAUACAUGAAGCAUUUCAUGUUUUA